This 441-nucleotide ribosomal RNA is filed under the name uncultured bacterium. RNAcentral describes it as "partial 16S ribosomal RNA". It matches the Rfam family "Bacterial small subunit ribosomal RNA", at positions 338 to 795 of the family's 1533-position model. The record is from RNAcentral.
CCUACGGGUGGCAGCAGUGGGGAAUAUUGCACAAUGGGGGGAACCCUGAUGCAGCGACGCCGCGUGAGUGAAGAAGUAUUUCGGUAUGUUAAGCUCUGUCAGCAGGGAAGAAGAAAGACGGUACCUGACCAAGAAGCCCCGGCUAACUACUUGCCAGCAGCCGCGGUAAUACGUAGGGGGCAAGCGUUAUCCGGAUUUACUGGGUGUAAAGGGAGCGUAGACGGCAGAGCAAGUCUGGAGUGAAAUGCCGGGGCCCAACCCCGGAACUGCUCUGGAAACUGUGAAGCUGGAGUUCAGGAGAGGUAAGCGGAAUGCGUGGUGUAGCGGUGAAAUGCGUAGAUAUCAGGAAGAACACCGGCGGCGAAGGCGGCUUACUGGACUGUAACUGACGUUGAGGCUCGAAGGCGUGGGUAGCAAACAGGAUUAGAUACCCCAGUAGUC